Myodes glareolus (Bank vole) is the source of this 1539-nucleotide non-coding RNA. Lineage: Eukaryota; Metazoa; Chordata; Mammalia; Rodentia; Cricetidae. The record is from RefSeq and is a predicted model, not a curated record.
CUUGUCAGGGUCCUCUGCAGAGGCGGAGCUUCUUCUCUGACCAAUCCGAGACCCUGUCGCCCGCCUCGGGCCCUCACCACGCCUCCCACACCUUGCCAAUCAGACUGCGGUUGUCAAGGCAACAGCUUGGCGCCAAGGCACGGAGUUGACGUCAACGGAGUCAGUGUUAGGGGCCCCCAAGCAGGGUCUGGAAAAGGGGGAUGGGAUGUGGGUGUGAAGGGAUGCAGCCCCCCCAAAAGAAAUCGAGGUGAAACAGAAAUGCCUACCAAUGAUGGUCCAAUGCAAAACCUAAGAAGAAAGAGAGGGAUAAAGGACAAGCAUAUAUUUGUCUAAAAAACGGGAAAAGGGGAAAAAAAAGGCAUGAAAAAUCGAGGCAAAAACAUAUACGUUGAGGUCUAACCACGAACGAUAAAGGUGGAAGAAAGGAGUUUUCUGCCUGCAACACCCAAGCACUAAGCUCAUUUCCUUAAUAAACGAAGAGCUAUUGGAAACCUACAAGGGACAGACAAAGGCAAACCAAAAAAAGGGGGCAAAAGAGACCGCAAGUCAGAGGACAAUACAAAUGGCUGGAAGAAUCAUGACUUGACUCGGCAUAGCAAAACGCCAACCUGAGAUACCGGGUGAAGGCGGUUUAUGGCAGUGCGCUGAAUCGCAUGCUGUCACCCACCGUUGCGCGAAAUCUACUGCGUAGAAUAGCGAGAAAUUGCGAGGGGAGUGAGCAGGUAGAUUACCAAGCCUGCCUCUCAUAGAAGAAAUUCCUGUCACCGGAAAAAAUAACGGGGUAUCGCUGCCGCAAAGGACCUAGACCGUAAUAGAUGCAAUGAAAUAAAACACGUUGCUGAAGUUUGUACAAACGGAAUGUUGUUGCUUCCGAGUGUACAGUGACAUUUUCCUGAGGCAGUGCGACCUGUGAUACCAUAACAGGCAGAAGGCUCCAGCAGACGAGAAUCCAGCUGUUCCCUCCCAUGUCCGGCACUGAAGAGAGUCGCAGAGAUGUAAAGUGACGCUACCAGUUACAGGUUUCAGUCCAUCAUCGAGGGAAGUCAAAGCAGGAUCUCAAGCAAUUACAUCCACGGCCGCAUCCAUCCAUCAGGUUACAUCCACGGCUGCAUCCAUCCACCAGGUUACAUCCACGGCCGCAUCCAUCCACCAGGUUACAUCCACGGCUGCAUCCAUCCAUCAGGUUACAUCCACGGCUGCAUCCAUCCAUCAGGUUACGUCCACGACUGCAUCCAUCCAUCAGGUUACGUCCACGGCUGCAUCCAUCCAUCAGGUUACGUCCACGGUUAAGAGCAGAGAGAAGUGAAUGCAUAUCCAUGCUGCCUGCUGCAUUUAUCCAGCUUUCUCCAAUCCUGCAGUUCAGGAUCUGCUGCCUAGGGAUUGGUGAUGCUCACAGUGGGGUGGGUCUUCUAUAUCGAAUAAGAAUCAUGACAGUCGUCUCGUAGACAUGCCCACAGAGCAGCUGAGGCUGUCUUCCCAAUUGAUUGAGUUGUGGCAAGGUGACACUUAAAAUUAAACCAUUUCAUUUUUUUCACUUUA